UUAGUAACUCUGCCAAAGUGUCUCUUUUAAGGUCACUUUGCCGGUCCCAAGCCCGGAUAAAAGAGGAGGGUUAA
Astyanax mexicanus (Mexican tetra) is the source of this 74-nucleotide non-coding RNA. The record is from Rfam. NCBI's taxonomy places the organism in Eukaryota, Metazoa, Chordata, Actinopteri, Characiformes, Acestrorhamphidae.